GUUGAAUGUCCCUGUUGAAAUUUGCAUAUAUAUUAAAAACAAACAACAGACCAGAGCAAGGAGCAUGAGCAUCUCAACCAGGGACACGAGGACAACGUCACCGAAUUCUGCGACUUGUGGCAUAAUCACACGUCACCAACAGCCCACGGACGGACCAAUUUGCAAUUAAGAGAUACGCCCCACAAACUACCUUUUUCUCCCUCUUCAUCAGAGCACACCCACCACAAAACUGUAGCACUUUGCCAAAACUGAUUUCGUGGUCUGGAC
This 267-nucleotide long non-coding RNA is filed under the name Drosophila guanche. The record is from RNAcentral. Lineage: Eukaryota; Metazoa; Arthropoda; Insecta; Diptera; Drosophilidae.